UCCUUUCCCUGCAUCUAAUAUUUAUGAGUUCUCAAGGAAAUUAGGGGUUUUAAAUGGGUUUACUUUGAAUUGUGUUUUCUGUACUCAAUGCUAUAUUAUUCCUUUUUGUUCUAUGUAAAUUCUUAGCUUGUAGUGACAUUGAAAAUGCAGAACGACCUAAAAGACGUCUUCCAACUUGAUUUUUCCUGAUAUCUGUAAUUUUUAGAGGCGGUUUGUUUCGCUUGUUUCCUUUUUUCAUUGGUUCAACUAUUUCAAAUGUGUAAAAUACAUGUAUAAUGUUGUGUUGUAUCUGAAGGACCAUAAAACAAAGUUAUUCUUAGCAUUUUUUUCAAUUAGGAGAAAGUAUCACAAUAUUGACUCCAAUUACAACACUUGUGCAGCUGUUGUUUACUGUUACACUAUGUGGUUUCUGUAGAAUUAACCUUCCUUUGCUGCAAAUUACUUUCCAAGAAUUUAUGAUUUUAGUUUUAUUUUGAUAGAAUUAGCUUCCUUUUUGAGGUACCUCUAUUAUCUCAGAAAGUUGUUUAUAGUAAGUGUCAAUUUAUGCUUACUACGAUUAGGUGUUCAUUCAAGUUUUUGCUUGGAUUUUUGUAGUUUUUCAUAGAUUAAUAUCUUACUCCUUGUAUGUUUUUUCUUCACUAUUUGUUGUAAAGAGUGGAUGAAUAAUCUGAAGAGUGGAUAUAUUGGUAGAAAAAAAUACCUUUUGGUGAAGUCAUAUUGUAGUUGGGUAGUGAUUUCAAGGUUACAAAGGAUGUUUUAUAGUCUUUUUUUGAAAGCUUUUAUGUUUUUAAGUGCAAGUUAUAUAUUAAUUUUGAGAUUUAUAGAAGAGAAAUGCAAACUUUUAUAUUAUAACAUUCUGAUGUUGGAAGUUUAGUUAGGAAGUGAUUUGAAUCUAUAAAAUGAGUACUUUAUGAUCAUUUUCUUUUUAUGCAUACUGAUUUAGAUUUCCAUGAAGCAUAAAUAAAGUAUGCAUACACUCUUUUCCUAGAUCCCUCUUUAUGGGAUUACACUUGAUGGUGUUGGGAUCUUGGUGCACGCUGCAGAGUAGUAGUAGUAAUAGCAGCAACAGCUACACUUGUGACCCUUGCAAUUGCUAAAUUACUAAUUUCACACUAAUAAAUAAUGUGUGUUGUUAUAAAAUCUUUUUGUAAUAAUAAAAUACAGCCAUGGAUCACAUGAUGAUCAAUUUUUAGGUUUGUGCUUUUCUUUUAUGUUUAUUUGAUCUCUAUCUAAUAUAUUUCUGUAAGUGUGAUUUGAAUUUGGGGUGUAACAGAAAUAUAUUAUCAUAUAUACAAUUAUAUAAGUAUGUUUAUUCCUUCCUUCUUUUAGAGAUCUCUUUGUGACUUAUAGUUUUUUUUGGUUAAGUUUUUGAAAGGUCAAAAGUACUUUUAGCUUUUAUACACUGUGUUCUAGCUUUUCUAAUAUGAUGCCUUCACUGUGAUUAACAAUAAGUCACAAUAUGAAAUGUUGUAUGAUCAUAGACGUUCCAUCAAUCACAAUAUAAAAAUGUUGCCAUUUUUAGUAAGAAAAAAGAGAAAAUGGAAGAUUGAGUUAUAUUUUAUUAUGGAAUCUUUUAUUUAUAGGGUUCAUGUGCUAAUGCUGGUGGGGCUAGAGUGUUUUUUUUUAAUUUUUUUUGUAAGGGAUAAGAAAAUAGUUUUCUAUUCCUUAAUCACUUCUUCUUUCUUAUAUAAUAGAGUCGUUCUGUAAUUCUAUUACUUUGAAAUUUUACAUUUGAUAAAGUUUUCAACUUAGCUGUCAACUACUUUUUGAUGGUAUGUCUAAUGAAUAUCUUGCAUUUGCGAAUUCAGUGUUACUUAAGCUAUAUAAUUGUAGGUUCUAAUUCUUUUAUGAUUGGAAAAAAAAUAAUUUAUUGCUAUUGUGCAGCUAUGCCAAAGGUUAAGCGCUUUCGUAAUUUAUUAGUUCAUGCAUCACAUGAUGUUAAUGAAAAUUCUUCAUCAUUAACUAGUCCAGCUCAAUCAAAUGCCAUUGGGCCUUCAACAUCAGCACAAUCCUUCCCACAUGAUGCAUCAAAUUCCUUGCCAUUUGAUGAAAUCCAACAAGAACAAGCUCCAACUCAACCUUCUAAUUCACGUGCAACAUCUCAAUCUAUAUCAAAUUGGAGAGUAGAGACGAUUGAUACAUGCCUUACAUGUACUUUACUUGAUCAUGACUACUUUCAUUUUUUUUUAUUAACUUAUUUUCUUAUUAAAGAUUUUAAAAAAAAUAUCAAGACUAUUAAGCUCGAGGUACACGAUGUCAACAAUCUACCUUUAAGGGAACAUAUUAUUGUGGACUUCGAUAAAUAUGGAGCGGCAAUUGGGGCAGCAGAAGGGUUACUUGCAGGAUAUUGUGGAACAUUGGCAACUGAUUGCAAUUAGUUUUGAUAAGUGGUCAGGACCAUCAGGUGUUCCUCAAAAGUACAAAAAAGACUGCUUUGAAACAAUUCUAAAGCCUCGAUUUUAUUUUAGGACUACGGAAAUCUUUGCAUA
Solanum dulcamara is the source of this 2489-nucleotide long non-coding RNA. RefSeq lists it as uncharacterized. The transcript is spliced from 2 exons. The record is from RefSeq and is a predicted model, not a curated record. Lineage: Eukaryota; Viridiplantae; Streptophyta; Magnoliopsida; Solanales; Solanaceae.